GUCCUCCCAGGGCCACAGAGGUCCCUUCCCAGAACUCACCUCCACCUGCCCGGACCGUCACCAGCAGAAGCAGGAGUGAAAGAAUGAAGCUAGCGUCUCCCGCUGGGGCCACUUAUAGCCUGAGGGAAUCAGGGUCCGGCCUACUUCACAAGCCUCAGGCUUGGAUUGCCAAACCCUUUGCCUGGGUGGAAACAGCUUCCUACUGUUACCAGGAGUUCCUUGCCUGGUAGUGAGCUCUGCUGAGCCGAGGCCAGAGUCUUGACUUCACCACAGAAAAGAAUUGCAGGAUGAGCGAGCCAGCCUGGAGCAGAGUUCGAGUUAAUUAAAAGAGAGGCACCUGGGAGGGAAGUCAGAGCUCAGGAUAUGGGCGCGAUGCUCUGAAAAUAAAGCCACUUAGUAGGUGCUGCCACUUACACACUUCAACAGGUGCCUAAGGACUUUUUUUUUUUUUUUUUUUGGUAAAUGAAUUCAUGAUGUGGUUCUUGGGUUCACUGGAUGGAAUCCAAGCUGGUUAGUAAAAGCCUAAAUCAAAAGAUAGGCAGGGUAAGUGCUUUAUUUUAUUUUUUUCAUCUUGCUUGCAAGAGUCCCAGAAAUACCAGGAAAGGAAUCAGGACAUACUGGAAGAGCAUAUGAGCCCGGGCUUUCAACAUGACUAGUUACCAUUCUAACGUUUUAAUUUGAAAAGAUCUCUCAACAAAAGAAACAAAAGAAAUUCUGUCAGCAACCUUCACAGCAAGCAGUGGUUGUGAUGGGAUUCCUGACUCUCAGCUGGUGAGAGGUGCCAAAAACAUUCAGGAGACUAUUCCCCCCCCCUCUGUCUCUGUGUGCUGCCUGCUCCGGAGCUGCCCCUGCUCAGGGCUGAACCCACAGUCUUACAUAUAGCAAUGUCUUCCCCGCAGACAGAUCCCCAGGCAGUCCUGAGCCCUGAUUGCCUCACGCUUGAGGGUGGGGGCCAUGCGUUUCCUGCCAUUCCCUAUCACAGCCUCCAGAUGGCCCUCCUGGAUAGAGAUCAGGCAGAACCCUCUGUGCUUGGAGUCUAAGGGGUUCAGUGUGCAGCUGUUUCCCGUUCUUGGCCCUAAGUAGAGGCAGGCCCUGGGCUCACAGUACAGGCCUUCCUUCCUUUCUUCCCCAGAGGCCAAGGACUGGGACUUGUGGUUGGCAGGUACGGAUCCUCCCUUUGUAGAGACUGUGUGAAGAGAGAGUGUGUGUGUGUGUGUGGGGGUGUGCUUUGAGGGGCUGAGGAGGGUGGGAGUCUAGCCUACUUUUCUCAACUAAUGGGGAAAUGACUCAGUAGGUGGGCACACAGUAGUUCUCAGGUGUUCUUCCAAGUCCUCAAUUCAGGUUAAGAUUUCCCAGAAUGCAGAGGUCACUAAGCCAUGUAUUCUUUAAGUUUCUCCCACUUCCUGUGUGGUGGCUGACACAGGACACACUUGUCAUCCUUUGGAGGAUGGCAGCAGUGACCACAGAAGUGAACUGAAUGGUUCCACAUCUCAGCUGUCGUGAGUAUUGCAUCAAUAAACAUGGAUGUGCAAACAUCUCUGUGGCAGGACUUUGAUAAUUUGGAUGCCUGCCCAUGAGGUACCUGGUUGUAUUUUUCGUUUCUUGAGAAACCUCCAUAUUGCUUUCCAUAGCGGCUGCGUGUGUGUGUGUGUGUGUGUGUGUGUGUGUGUGUGUCUGUGUGUGUGUCUGUGUUUGUGUGUGUGUUGUAGUUCUGUAUACACUCAGACUUCAGCCCCUUGUCUGUAUUGUGUUUGGCAAGAUCCCCCUGUUCUGUGGUUUUCUCUACAUUCUGCUGGCUUCCUUUGCUGUGCAGAAGCAUAUUAAUUUCAAGCAACCUCAUUGUGUCAUUCCUACAUAGGGAAUAUACCUUAGGAAAUACUUAUUUCCUGUGGCACAUGAAAACUUUCAUAAACACCUUGUAUCUGCCUGUAUCUUGUUCUAAGUCCCCCCAGCAGUUUCAAAGUAUCAGGUGUUAUCGUAAGGUCUUUGGUCCAUUUCUAAUUGAUUUCCAUGCAGUGUGAGAGAUUCUGUCCUUUGUCUUAAUGUGUAGAGUCUCUUUAUCAGCCCCUAUGUGGCAUAUAACAUGGGCAAGCAUACCUUCUGUUUAGGUAGAAGCCCUGAUGGUGCCCUAUACCCAAGGAGUCUGGGGUGACUAGUGGAAGCCCCACAUCUCUGUCUCCCCAGACCACAUCCCCUUCCUCCCUCAGAAAGCCCUCCAAGGAGCAGCCCCCCCCUCAGAGAGCCCUGCAAGUGUCAGCCCCUCCCUGGCUGCUGGAGACCAUGCUUACAGGCUACUUAAGAGGGAGCAAGGUACCUGCUACAUGCUCUCAAGUUCUCUCCCCUGCCUUCCCGAGAGAGAGCUCACAUUAGCCCUGGAUUUAUAAAUUUGGCUUGAUUGCCUUAUUACAUCGGUGGUGGAGGAUUCCCAAUAACUGGGGGAUCCAAAACUUGUCACCUCCUUAAGAAUAAGUUCUAAAAACUGUUAAUAUAUAAAAGAAUAUUACUUUAUUUAUUUUUAAGUGACAGAUGUAACCCUUUAUACUGUUAUUAAAGUUUUCCCCCCCAGUCUUGUGUGUAUGGGGGGAGGCAGCCCUAUGUGAAAUGUGACAAUUUCCCACUGUAACUGUUUUUGAAGCAUACAGUAAUAAAUAAAAUACUGUGUGGUACUUAUUUCUGCAAUAAAACAGCUCGUCCUGUUGAUAUACCAUGUAGUAGUUACAUUUCUAGCAACUAAGGGUGGUGGGGUUGAUUUUGCCUCCCCCGUCAAGGGUACAGUCCGCCAGGCUGGGUGUCACGGGGCAAGUACGGACAAACUUUCUCAUCCGUACCGCCAGCUCAUGAAUAACGGCACCUAUUGCUAAUUAUGAAAGCUGGGUCUAUAGCUCAGGCUUGUCCCUAACUAGUUCUUGUAACUUAAAUAUUUUUAAUCUACAUUCUUGGACGUGGCUCGGUUACCUUUAACUCUGUGCAGCCCAUCCUGCUUCCCCCGAGUCUGGCUGCCGUCUCCACCUUUCUUCCUGUCUGUCCCCAGGCCAUUAGCUCUUUAUUAAAUCAAUCACAACGACACAGCCAAGAACCAGGGUGGCUGCGGACAUCACACCCAUCGCUGGGAACUGGAGACAGAGAAAUGCCAGUGCUUGGCUUUGAUUUUGCUUUUUAUCAGUCUGGGAUCCCAGCCCAGGAGAGGUGCUUCAGGCAUUUAGGGUGAAUCACCUCACUUGAUCUACUCCUGCACAGACAUGCCUAGAGAGGCAUCUUCUAGAUGACUCUUCGAUUGGGAAGAUGACCCAUCACAAACUAAGAACCUUCUUAAUUUUUUACCUCUUUACUUUCAUCUUAAGAGUGUCUUGAAGACCAUGUUUUGUUAAAUUAGUGUUUUAAAGGCUCAACCUAAGAAUUUAAGUUAUUAUAAAUCGAUGGAUGUCAUAAUUCAUAUUUAUUGUGAUCACUAAAAUGUUUGUCCCUGUCACAUCAUCAUCUCCUUAUUGUGCACUUGGGGGUUUAUUUCUCUAUCUCUGGGCUCUGUUUCUAUGCUGAAUUUGUUUUGCUUGAAAUGUUACCCAUUCUAUUUUGUUCUCAUGAUGGUUGUGACUGACCUAUGACCCAGACAAACGUUGGUUCACAUUAUUAUUUUUGCUUUACAUUCGAUUUUAAAAAGUACAUUGUAACAUGUAGUCUUUCUGCCAGCUGUCUGGGUCCCAAGCUGUCUCAGCCCCCAAAUAACACACGAAACGCCAUAUUAAUUAGGAAGCUGUUGGCUGUUUGUUUGGUUUCUUAUUGGCUAUCUCUGAUUUAAUUAUUAAUCCAUAAUUGCUAACUUGAAUAUUUCCACGUGGUCUUCUUUUACCGGUGAAAAGGGUCUGGACCUCUUCUCCCGUGUCCUAUAUCCUGACUGACUGUAUCUCUGUUUCCCAGAAUCCUCCUCAACUCCUAGUCCCACCUAUCUUGUUUCCUUAUUGGCCAAUGGCGCUUUAUUUAAUCAACCAAUAAGACAACAUAUACACAGUACUUCCCCCAUAGUACAUAGCUCAUUUUCAUAUCCUUUUUGUGUGCUGUCUCCAGACCCACUUUCCUGUUGAAUUAUAUAAUUUGGUUAACUGUCAUCUUAUUUUCUGUUAUUUUAGUGUGAUCCUCCUCUCUCCCAUUUUGGUGCACAAUUGAAACUCUGAAUAAAUUAAUUGGUUAUUCAUGUU
This is a long non-coding RNA of Mesocricetus auratus (golden hamster), 4193 nucleotides long. RefSeq lists it as uncharacterized. The transcript is spliced from 2 exons. Lineage: Eukaryota; Metazoa; Chordata; Mammalia; Rodentia; Cricetidae. The record is from RefSeq and is a predicted model, not a curated record.